This 854-nucleotide ribosomal RNA is filed under the name uncultured bacterium. RNAcentral describes it as "bacterial SSU rRNA". It matches the Rfam family "Bacterial small subunit ribosomal RNA", at positions 28 to 878 of the family's 1533-position model. The record is from RNAcentral.
AUUGAACGCUGGCGGCAUGCUUUACACAUGCAAGUCGAGCGGCAGCGCGGGGGCAACCCUGGCGGCGAGCGGCGAACGGGUGAGUAAUACAUCGGAACGUGUCCCGUAGAGGGGGAUAGCCCGGCGAAAGCCGGAUUAAUACCGCAUAUGCUCUACGGAGGAAAGCAGGGGAUCGCAAGACCUUGCGCUAUGGGAGCGGCCGAUGUCCGAUUAGCUAGUUGGCGGGGUAAUGGCCCACCAAGGCGACGAUCGGUAGCUGGUCUGAGAGGAUGAUCAGCCACACUGGGACUGAGACACGGCCCAGACUCCUACGGGAGGCAGCAGUGGGGAAUAUUGGACAAUGGGGGAAACCCUGAUCCAGCGACGCCGCGUGUGUGAAGAAGGCCUGCGGGUUGUAAAGCACUUUUAGUGGGGACAAAAAGCUACGGACUAAUAUUCUGUGGUCUUGAUUUAACCCAAAGAAAAAGCACCGGCUAACUCUGUGCCAGCAGCCGCGGUAAUACAGAGGGUGCGAGCGUUAAUCGGAAUUACUGGGCGUAAAGCGCGCGUAGACGGUUUUGUAAGUCAGAUGUGAAAUCCCUGGGCUCAACCUGGGAACUGCAUUUGAUACUGCAUGGCUAGAGUAUCGAAGAGGGAAGUGGAAUUUCCGGUGUAGCGGUGAAAUGCGUAGAUAUCGGAAGGAACACCAGUGGCGAAAGCGACUUCCUGGUCGAAUACUGACGUUCAUGUGCGAAAGCGUGGGGAGCAAACAGGAUUAGAUACCCUGUUAGUCCACGCCGUAAACGAUGAAUGCCAGCCGUUAGUGAUUUACUCACUAGUGGCGCAGCUAACGCUUUUAAGCAUUCGGCCUGGGG